AAGACCUUGCGCUUUUGGAGCGGCCGGUGUCUGAUUAGCUUGUUGGUGAGGUAAAAGCUUACCAAGGCUUCGAUCAGUAGCUGGUCUGAGAGGACGGCCAGCCACACUGGGACUGAGACACGGCCCAGACUCCUACGGGAGGCAGCAGUGGGGAAUUUUGGACAAUGGGGGCAACCCUGAUCCAGCCAUGCCGCGUGAGUGAAGAAGGCCUUCGGGUUGUAAAGCUCUUUCAGCCGGAACGAAACGGUUACGGUUAAUACCCGUGACUACUGUCGGUACCGGAAGAAGAAGCACCGGCUAACUACGUGCCAGCAGCCGCGGUAAUACGUAGGGUGCAAGCGUUAAUCGGAAUUACUGGGCGUAAAGCGUGCGCAGGUGGUUUUGUAAGUCAGAUGUGAAAUCCCCGGGCUCAACCUGGGAACU
RNAcentral lists this ribosomal RNA (423 nucleotides) under uncultured bacterium. RNAcentral's name for it is "bacterial SSU rRNA". It matches the Rfam family "Bacterial small subunit ribosomal RNA", at positions 207 to 622 of the family's 1533-position model. The record is from RNAcentral.